GUGGGGAAUAUUGGACAAUGGGCGAAAGCCUGAUCCAGCCAUGCCGCGUGUGUGAAGAAGGUCUUCGGAUUGUAAAGCACUUUAAGUUGGGAGGAAGGGCAGUAAGUUAAUACCUUGCUGUUUUGACGUUACCAACAGAAUAAGCACCGGCUAACUUCGUGCCAGCAGCCGCGGUAAUACGAAGGGUGCAAGCGUUAAUCGGAAUUACUGGGCGUAAAGCGCGCGUAGGUGGUUCAGCAAGUUGAAGGUGAAAUCCCCGGGCUCAACCUGGGAACUGCCUCCAAAACUACUGAGCUAGAGUACGGUAGAGAGUAGUGGAAUUUCCUGUGUAGCGGUGAAAUGCGUAGAUAUAGGAAGGAACACCAGUGGCGAAGGCGACUACCUGGACUGAUACUGACACUGAGGUGCGAAAGCGUGGGGAGCAAACAGGAUUAGAAACCCCAGUAGUCC
This 450-nucleotide ribosomal RNA is filed under the name uncultured bacterium. RNAcentral's name for it is "partial 16S ribosomal RNA". It matches the Rfam family "Bacterial small subunit ribosomal RNA", at positions 354 to 796 of the family's 1533-position model. The record is from RNAcentral.